UUACAGCUCGACCUGAGAUCAGCGGAGAACGAGCGCGUGGGGAACAUCACCGUGGCUGCCUGGCAGAUGGAGGACAGAGCAGACCAGAGGGUGUCGACCGGCUGGCUGCCAGACGGCAUCAACGGGCGGACGGUGCUGCCGGUCGAUGAGAGCCUCACAGAGUCGAUGGGAGUCAGAAUCAAGUACGCCUCGCUAUGCAAAGACCCCCUGCUGC
Notothenia coriiceps (black rockcod) is the source of this 214-nucleotide long non-coding RNA. RefSeq lists it as uncharacterized. NCBI's taxonomy places the organism in Eukaryota, Metazoa, Chordata, Actinopteri, Perciformes, Nototheniidae. The record is from RefSeq and is a predicted model, not a curated record. The transcript is spliced from 4 exons.